UAGUUGAGUUUCUAAGAUGGGCCAUG
RNAcentral lists this non-coding RNA (26 nucleotides) under Homo sapiens (human). The record is from RNAcentral. Lineage: Eukaryota; Metazoa; Chordata; Mammalia; Primates; Hominidae.